This 253-nucleotide ribosomal RNA is filed under the name uncultured bacterium. Its description in RNAcentral is "partial 16S ribosomal RNA". It matches the Rfam family "Bacterial small subunit ribosomal RNA", at positions 524 to 776 of the family's 1533-position model. The record is from RNAcentral.
UACGAAGGGGGCAAGCGUUGCUCGGAAUCACUGGGCGUAAAGGGCGCGUAGGCGGACGUUUAAGUCAGGGGUGAAAUCCCGAGGCUCAACCUCGGAAUUGCCUUUGAUACUGGAUGUCUCGAGACCGGAAGAGGUGAGUGGAACUGCGAGUGUAGAGGUGAAAUUCGUAGAUAUUCGCAAGAACACCAGUGGCGAAGGCGGCUCACUGGUCCGGUUCUGACGCUGAGGCGCGAAAGCGUGGGGAGCAAACAGG